RNAcentral lists this ribosomal RNA (651 nucleotides) under Escherichia coli. RNAcentral describes it as "bacterial SSU rRNA". It matches the Rfam family "Bacterial small subunit ribosomal RNA", at positions 1 to 641 of the family's 1533-position model. Lineage: Bacteria; Pseudomonadati; Pseudomonadota; Gammaproteobacteria; Enterobacterales; Enterobacteriaceae. The record is from RNAcentral.
AAAUUGAAGAGUUUGAUCAUGGCUCAGAUUGAACGCUGGCGGCAGGCCUAACACAUGCAAGUCGAACGGUAACAGGAAGAAGCUUGCUUCUUUGCUGACGAGUGGCGGACGGGUGAGUAAUGUCUGGGAAACUGCCUGAUGGAGGGGGAUAACUACUGGAAACGGUAGCUAAUACCGCAUAACGUCGCAAGACCAAAGAGGGGGACCUUCGGGCCUCUUGCCAUCGGAUGUGCCCAGAUGGGAUUAGCUAGUAGGUGGGGUAACGGCUCACCUAGGCGACGAUCCCUAGCUGGUCUGAGAGGAUGACCAGCCACACUGGAACUGAGACACGGUCCAGACUCCUACGGGAGGCAGCAGUGGGGAAUAUUGCACAAUGGGCGCAAGCCUGAUGCAGCCAUGCCGCGUGUAUGAAGAAGGCCUUCGGGUUGUAAAGUACUUUCAGCGGGGAGGAAGGGAGUAAAGUUAAUACCUUUGCUCAUUGACGUUACCCGCAGAAGAAGCACCGGCUAACUCCGUGCCAGCAGCCGCGGUAAUACGGAGGGUGCAAGCGUUAAUCGGAAUUACUGGGCGUAAAGCGCACGCAGGCGGUUUGUUAAGUCAGAUGUGAAAUCCCCGGGCUCAACCUGGGAACUGCAUCUGAUACUGGCAAGC